This 423-nucleotide ribosomal RNA is filed under the name uncultured bacterium. RNAcentral describes it as "bacterial SSU rRNA". It matches the Rfam family "Bacterial small subunit ribosomal RNA", at positions 113 to 518 of the family's 1533-position model. The record is from RNAcentral.
ACACGUGGGUAACCUGCCCAUAAGAGGGGGAUAACAUCCGGAAACGGGUGCUAAUACCGCAUAGUUUUCUUGAUCGCAUGAUUGAGAAAGGAAAGACGGCCUUUGUGCUGUCGCUUAUGGAUGGACCCGCGGCGUAUUAGUUAGUUGGUGAGGUAACGGCUCACCAAGACGAUGAUACGUAGCCGACCUGAGAGGGUGAUCGGCCACAUUGGGACUGAGACACGGCCCAAACUCCUACGGGAGGCAGCAGUAGGGAAUCUUCCGCAAUGGACGAAAGUCUGACGGAGCAACGCCGCGUGAGUGAAAAGAAGGUUUUCGGAUCGUAAAACUCUGUUGUCAGAGAAGAACAAGUUGGGGAGUAACUGCUCCAGCCUUGACGGUAUCUGACCAGAAAGCCACGGCUAACUACGUGCCAGCAGCGGC